AAGUGAGGACGACCUCACCGCUCCACGAUCCAUUCAGGGACGACCCUG
This 48-nucleotide non-coding RNA is filed under the name Aporhodopirellula sallentina. RNAcentral describes it as "Rhodopirellula sallentina Guanidine-II sequence". It matches the Rfam family "Guanidine-II riboswitch aptamer (mini-ykkC)". Rfam says of the family: Simpler in structure and has fewer highly conserved nucleotide positions than the ykkC-yxkD leader. Despite this each of its two stem-loop structures directly bind free guanidine. Lineage: Bacteria; Pseudomonadati; Planctomycetota; Planctomycetia; Pirellulales; Pirellulaceae. RNAcentral also lists the same sequence under 1 other name. The record is from RNAcentral.